This is a non-coding RNA of Ailuropoda melanoleuca (giant panda), 73 nucleotides long. NCBI's taxonomy places the organism in Eukaryota, Metazoa, Chordata, Mammalia, Carnivora, Ursidae. The record is from Rfam.
GGUUCCAUAGUGUAGCGGUUAGCACGUCUGCUUUACGCGCAGAAGGUCCUGGGUUCGAGCCCCAGUGGAACCA